CGGGGGCUGGCGCAGUCCGGCAGCGCGCACGGUUCGGGACCGUGAGGCCCCGGGUUCAAAUCCCGGGCCCCCGACCA
This 77-nucleotide transfer RNA is filed under the name Candidatus Dormiibacterota bacterium. Its description in RNAcentral is "candidate division AD3 bacterium tRNA-Pro". It matches the Rfam family "tRNA". Rfam says of the family: Transfer RNA (tRNA) molecules are approximately 80 nucleotides in length. Their secondary structure includes four short double-helical elements and three loops (D, anti-codon, and T loops). The record is from RNAcentral. Lineage: Bacteria; Bacillati; Candidatus Dormiibacterota. RNAcentral also lists the same sequence under 1 other name.